CACAAACCCAGGCAGCACAAAGAGACUCAUGUCGGGGAGGCUGACACCAUGGAAAGCUGGGAGCCUCUUGCCAGCUGGAUUGGAUGCUUCUGCAGUAUGCCGUAAGAGUCAUCGCUGUAACUACAUGCAACGUGUGGGAAUAGGGAAGCCUGCCCUGUCAGAGUGUUGAAAGCGAUCUCCAUCUGUUCUGGGUACUGCUCGCUCAUCAUCUGAUGGAUGCACACUACCCCUACUUGUGCCUUUCCUUCUCCUUGCUCCUUCCCUGCUAGUACAGUGGAAGCAGAUGUGUUUGCCUUUUACAGUGUUUGUUAUCAAGCUCCAACUGAGUAUGCUGAAUCACAGUGCUGCCUGAACAACCCAGUCUGAAAUACCAUGCUGCCCAUUUGGGAGAGAGAGGAAGCCCAGUAGAGAGUGUGGUUUCGCGUUCCUGCAUCAGAUGUUGAGGAUCAAAGGCAUCUGAAACAAUCAUAAAGACGAUACCAAAAGAACACCUGGGUAGAUGCACGAACUGCAAAGCCUCCUGGAGAAGGAGGCCAUGUAUGUGGGACUGUGGGCUGUGGGUCUGGGGCCCCCCUCCCCCUCUGCCCAUCUCAGUGCACUGCAGUAUGUCCUGAGCACUGCUGCCCACUCCCAUGAGCAGAAUACCCAAAUUCCAACACGUCUCCCUCCUGCUCCAGCCACACUGCAUGACCCACAGUAUCCCUUUGGCACUUCACAUCCAGUUCUUCUCUGGCGCUGCAAUGGCAAGGGAAAGAUGCACCAUUGGCACUGCAGAGGAAAUCCCUGUCAUCUCCCUGCUGCUGCUCCCUUUUUUCUACGGGGGCAACAUCAUGGGAUGACCCUGCUCACCAAAGGACCCUGACAAGUACCCAUGGUCAUGGUUCCCCUCUGGCUUGGCUCACUUUGCAGGACGCCUCAUUUUUCCGGACACUGGAAGUUCAUCCAGGGCUCUUAGUGGAUGUUUUCCCUGCACUGUGAUUACUGAAAGCUAUUCUUCAUUAAAGGAUAGAAUUCAUCUCUGCUGAAUGUAUAGGAUGACGCCUGAAGCCCAC
Long non-coding RNA from Gallus gallus (chicken), 1052 nucleotides. NCBI's taxonomy places the organism in Eukaryota, Metazoa, Chordata, Aves, Galliformes, Phasianidae. The record is from Ensembl.